GACGAACGCUGGCGGCGUGCUUAACACAUGCAAGUCGAACGGAAAGGCCCUGCUUUUGUGGGGUGCUCGAGUGGCGAACGGGUGAGUAACACGUGAGUAACCUGCCCUUGACUUUGUGAUAACUUCAGGAAACUGGGGCUAAUACCGGAUAGGAGCUCCUGCUGCAUGGUGGGGGUUGGAAAGUUUCGGCGGUUGGGGAUGGACUCGCGGCUUAUCAGCUUGUUGGUGGGGUAGUGGCUUACCAAGGCUUUGACGGGUAGCCGGCCUGAGAGGGUGACCGGCCACAUUGGGACUGAGAUACGGACCAGACUCCUACGGGAGGCAGCAGUGGGGAAUAUUGCACAAUGGGCGGAAGCCUGAUGCAGCAACGCCGCGUGCGGGAUGACGGCCUUCGGGUUGUAAACCGCUUUCGCCUGUGACGAAGCGUGAGUGACGGUAAUGGGUAAAGAAGCACCGGCUAACUACGUG
Molecule: ribosomal RNA, 468 nt
Filed under: uncultured bacterium
Lineage: Bacteria
Description: partial 16S ribosomal RNA
Rfam family: Bacterial small subunit ribosomal RNA
Source: RNAcentral